ACCUGAGUAAUACCUGGCUCAUCCUCCACGUUAGAUGUGCACACAUAUAUUCAAAAUAAAAAAGUUACAAAACUAGUCAGCACCAGAAGAAAGUAUAUGGCUGCACUAGAGGAAUUUUGGACGUUUACCAAUGUUGCUUUUCAGGAGUCACCUGCACCUCCUGAGCAAGGAGACAGGCACCAAGUAGCUCAGCUCCAGCUGCUGUGA
RNAcentral lists this long non-coding RNA (207 nucleotides) under Chrysolophus pictus (golden pheasant). RNAcentral's name for it is "lncRNA (ENSCPIG00010014844.1)". The record is from RNAcentral. Lineage: Eukaryota; Metazoa; Chordata; Aves; Galliformes; Phasianidae.